CCUUAUUGCUGCAAAAAACGAGUGACUUUCUUUCCCGAAGCAAACAAAAUUGUUGGGCACUUAAAACUUAUAGAAAUUAAAUGAUUCUGCUCACAAUUCUAAUGUCAUCUUGUCAUUACAUAAAUGGAAUCUCCCUUGCGAAGCAUAUUCAACCGCUCAAAUCGCUACUGGAAGUCGGAAUCAGAUCGUGCUCUUCCGCAAAGCUUCGUCGGAUAAUAUCACCAAGAAGACCAUAAAAUGGAAGCCAGAUCGGCGCAAUUGAAGCUUCGAGAUACAGUUGGAAUACAGCAUUUUGUGGCAGUUCAGGUGAGGUUUAAAUUUAGCUUUUAUCAUGCAUCGCGUGUGGCCGGUGCCCCGUCCCCUACUGCUGCUGCUGCACGUCCACAUUCCAACCACCGCCAGCCAAGUACGCCUGCCGCCUGCCGCCCUGCUCCCUAGUCGGUCCGACAUUGGCACUGCGCAUGUGCCAGUUUUCGCAUUGCGACGGCCCCGGGAAACGUCCCGCUUUUCCGCUGAUGGAAUUUCUCGUACAUGACGCCACUUUAAAAGUUCUCAGUGGAUGCCGAGCCAUAUGGCGAAAGAUAGGCAACAGCCCAUCGCACAUGUGGCAGCUGUGUGGCUGUAUGGGUGCGCUCCAGAGGUUGUGUAAGUGCGUGGCGGCUGCUAUAGCUGCUGGCGAGGGAAUGAAUGCAACGCGGUGGCCAUAUCGAGGCGACCCAGUCGGCUCAUCAUCAUCGGCUUAUGGCAGCCAUGAUGCACAGGAAGGUGAGGGGCCGGGUUACUGCAGUGCAGC
RNAcentral lists this long non-coding RNA (793 nucleotides) under Drosophila guanche. The record is from RNAcentral. Lineage: Eukaryota; Metazoa; Arthropoda; Insecta; Diptera; Drosophilidae.